AUGCAGAUCAUCAUCCCAGGUCUUUACGAACUACUGGGCAUCCAAGAUGCUGCCUCCUCUCCAUUGUCACAGAGAUCUCUCACAGCGUCACUCACCAGUCUGUUAGACGAUAAGGUUAACACCAAGUCCCGCGUGAGAUUUACUGAGGCUGGUGUACCUAAGAGGCCAGGCAGUCGAAAGUCUUACAAUAGCUUUCGCAUCCCGACUCCCUACCCUUCCUCCAACUGUAUGGAUCAGGAAGAGGAAGAAGAGCAGGAAUCACAACAACUUAAGUUCAAGGAGAUGUACCUGACUAAGGAGAUGGGCAGUCUGGGCAGUGGAAGCUACUGCCCAAAACCAUUGCCCAAGCCAGCCAUGAGAACCUCUCUGUCUGAUGUGCAGAAGAAGACAACCAACUCUGACUCGCUACAAGUCCUCUUAGGUGUCUCAGAGGACACCCUCGUCACCUGUGUGCAGGACAGCCUGCAAGGUUCUCUCUCCAAACUUGCAUGCAUGUCCAAUUCUCCAUCUGGAAGUGCAGGCUCUCCGAAGAUGACCCCUGCUGUAAUGGCAGAAGUGAUUAAAGAUGUCAAGUCGGCCGUAUCAGUAGUCGUUAAGAGUGCCUCCGCUAGCCAAACCUCUCAAGUGACACCGGUAAGGGGAGACUCACAGACCAAGGUGACUGAGAGCAUGGUGAGAGAGCUGGCUGCUAAACUUGAAAAAGUUGACCAAGAGAGCAAGAGUCUAACAGGGCAAGUCAUGACCAUGAUCUCUGACACAAUGGUGGCUUUUGUUGACGAGAACGAACAGAAUUUGCUGAAAGAUCUGAAGGACAAGAUCACGUUUUUGGCAUCGCAUGUUGGCUUCAUUGACGAUCUUGAUGCCCUGAUAAGGAAAUACGAGAGCAGCUACAAUAUUGGUGAAUCUGGUUCCUCCUGCACGCUCACAUCUAAGAGCAUCCAAAAACUCUCCAGCCGGGAGUUUCAAACAUCAGCAAUACAAGCAGUGAGUGGAGUUCUUGCCAAAAAAGUCAGUAGUUUGAGCUUUCCUAGUUCAGUCGUUCAGUCUGAGUUAACAGGUGCUGUAUCAGGUCAAACAUUGUCUGGCAUUGUAAAGACAGAGUCAAUUCACCCAGUGGGCUCAGCAGCGUCAGUAGUUGUUAAGACUUUCGUGUCAGAUAUGAAGUCCUUGGCUGAAUCUGAAGAGAGUCCCCAACAGAAGAGUGCCUGGUCUGCUGCUGUUCACAUUUACAACAGCAUCCAAAACAACUUGAAAGAUUAUUUCGGCAAGCUUCAGAGAUUUGCCCUAAAGAGCAUUGUCACAUCUGAUGACAACAUCACAACUUGCACCAAAGAAGUCAUCUCAGAGCUUCUGGUCUUGUACAAGACUGAAAUGUCAAAGGAGGACCCCCUGUACACUGUUGGAGAAAAAGGAUCAGACUUCUCUAUUGAGAGACAACAAUUUGUAGAGGGCGUUCUGGCUCAGCUUGGGGAUAUCUCCCAUUCCAGGGCCUCAUCACCAAUAGUAUAUGAGUUCCCCUGUCAAAUUGAGGACAGCAGAAGUAAGGCCACAGCUUCUUUGACCAGUCUGUUAGAUUGCAUGAAAAAACUCUCAAGUGAGGAAUUCAAGAGAGACACCACUCAAGCAGUGAGUGAGUUCCUAGUUAAAAAGUCCAACAGUAGCUUAACUAGUGCACAGCCUGCUUAUUCUGUAGCAUCCAGGUCUUGUUCCGUUCAAAGCCAGAGAACCUUGUCAAAGGAUAUUUGUGCGGAUUCUGCUGCCUUUGGCAUCAUUGACACAUUUGUGGAAGACCUGCAGAGCUCGGCGCAACCUGCAGAAGUAGAGGAGAGAGAACCUGACCUCCAGGAAAAUGCACAAAAGCGAAAGAGCAGGAUCUGGUCUGCUACUACUAGUUUAUAUAAAAAUAUUAAGAAGACAUUAAAGGGCUUCACCAUUCACCGGCGGAGGUCAGACGUGCAGAGAAGAAUGUCUAGCCAUACAACCACAGAGGACUGUGGACAUCUUGUGACUAAGGAGUACCUUGGUUUGGCAAGCCAGAACUUGACGCAAGCUAGUAAGAGUGUGCCUCACUUGCCCAGUUUGAACCAGGAAGUGACUCUACACAUGGGUGUCAGCGAGAGUUCAAAACUUCUCUGGACUGAAACAGACGAGGGUCUAAUGAACAAUAGUACCAAACAGGUCAUUUCAACAAUCUUGACCUCAUGCGAGGAUCCAACAUCAAAUGCACCUUGCUUCUCCACAGUAGGAAAGAAAAUAUCUGAUAUGUCCCUUGAGGUCAACAUAUUGGUAGGUGGUGUUCUGUCUCAGCUGAAGGACAUCUCCUUGUCAAGGUCCCCAACACCAUGUGAAGGCAUGUUUGAACGUCUCCAAGGUUCUCCUGAGCGAACCUCUCCAGUAAGUCUAGAUUGCAGCACGGCUGCUUCCAAAGGCAUUGCAUCUUCCCACAGUCUUUCAACAAAGAGCCUCCAAAAACUUUCUAGUCAUGAGUUCCAAACCAAAGCUGAGAAAGGAGUGAGUGAGGUCCUCUCUAGAUCAUUUAACAUUGUGGAGGAAGGUACAACAGAUAAGUACCUCCAGUCUGUAUCUACAUCUACUGAUAUUAUACAAACCAUAGUGAAAGAUCUGCAGGAGCUCACCCAGACCACCCAAUCAUCUGACAUGGUAUCUGGAACCUCCCUGCUCACCACUGGACAGGUUUCUGAGAAAAGGAUCUGGUCUGUUGCUCGUAACAUCUACUACAGUCUGCAAAGUAAGAUUACGGAGUUUCUCAGAAAAGAUCUUCAAAUGUCAGACACAACACUUGGUUCAAUCCAAAUAUUUACAUAUCAAAGCAGUCCUGCUUCACAAAGAGCAAGUCUCUGCCAUCUUGAGGUCAACCAGAGCAGUGUUACACCUGGUGGAAACGAUGCCUGUGUGGACAUUCCGCACAAAUUACUACCUAAAACCACUGAGCUCUCAGGAUCCAUGCUGGAGGAUAUUGGCACGAUCCGUUGUAGGAGUGCUGACAGCCAAAAUACAAGAAAUACCUCUUCUUCACGCUCCUCCAUCUCUCUAACACCUACUUCAAAAUCAAAGCAGUCAGAAUGGGACUUUACCUUGCCCGGUACUCCCAUCCCCACUGAAUUAUCUGCUCAGAGUGACUUUCCCAUUGUAAGAAACAUGAUCAUUAAGGACUUGUUUCACACAGAGAACUUACUUCCCCCAUCCUUUGUGGACAAAGUCAGGCAAGCUGCUGGGGUGGUAGUGGACGAAAUGGUGGAAAGUGUUGAGAACACACAGGAAGAUGGACAGGGUGCUUUUCAUCCUGACAACCUCCGAUCUGCUGUUAGGAAAUUGAGAAAAAUAAUUUCCACUGGGACCAUCCACAUGUUCAGUCAUGAAUUUGUGGAUAAAGUGAUAGCCCUUCAGGACAGCCACAGCACUCCACAGGUCUUAACAUUGGCAGCAGCCAGAAGUGCUUCAGACUCCAUUCUUUCAAGGCUGAAAUGGGGAAAGGAACAACGUGCCAUAUCCAGGAAGCUCUCCUCUCAGCUUCUCCAGAUAUUUGCCGAAGAGACAGUGAAGGGCUUCCUAAAACAGUGGUUAGAUGAGUAUGAAAAUAUCAACAUUGAUGUUUCAGUCCAGAAUGAACCAAGCACCUCUACUUGCAUGGUCUUUCCUAUCCAGCUCAAUCAGAGCAAGCCAGAGGAUAGUGACACAAUGAAUCAGCUCACGAAAGUCAUGGUCAACAAAAUGAUGGAUGCCUUAUCAGUUGGCUCAAGUCAUCAAAUGAUCACCAAAGCCAAUGCCAAAUGUUCUUUUGAGUCCGGUACCAGCAUGGCCACCAGAGACAUUGUAGAAGGGAUGUUGGAUUUGGUAAGGGAUAGCACCAGCAGUACUGGAGAGCAGAUCCCCAUCUUCAAGUCCAAGAAAAGCAAGAAAACCAUGUUCAGCAAGAUAUGCUUUAACAUAAAGGUAUAA
RNAcentral lists this long non-coding RNA (3960 nucleotides) under Oncorhynchus mykiss (rainbow trout). RNAcentral describes it as "lncRNA (ENSOMYG00000066656.1)". The record is from RNAcentral. Lineage: Eukaryota; Metazoa; Chordata; Actinopteri; Salmoniformes; Salmonidae.